GACGAACGCUGGCGGCGUGCCUAAUACAUGCAAGUUGAGCGCUGAAGGUUGGUACUUGUACCAACUGGAUGAGCAGCGAACGGGUGAGUAACGCGUGGGGAAUCUGCCUUUGAGCGGGGGACAAAAUUUGGAAACGAAUGCUAAUACCGCAUAAAAACUUUAAACACAAGUUUUAAGUUUGAAAGAUGCAAUUGCAUCACUCAAAGAUGAUCCCGCGUUGUAUUAGCUAGUUGGUGAGGUAAAGGCUCACCAAGGCGAUGAUACAUAGCCGACCUGAGAGGGUGGUCGGCCACAGUGGGACUGAGACACGGCCCAAACUCCUACGGGAGGCAGCAGUAGGGAAUCUUCGGCGAUGGACGAAAGUCUGACCGAGCAACGCCGCGUGAGUGAAGAAGGUUUUCGGAUCGUAAAACUCUGUUGGUAGAGAAGAACGUUGGUGAGAGUGGAAAGCUCAUCAAGUGACGGUAACUACCCAGAAAGGGACGGCUAACUACGUG
This 497-nucleotide ribosomal RNA is filed under the name uncultured bacterium. Its description in RNAcentral is "partial 16S ribosomal RNA". It matches the Rfam family "Bacterial small subunit ribosomal RNA", at positions 28 to 507 of the family's 1533-position model. The record is from RNAcentral.